This 207-nucleotide ribosomal RNA is filed under the name uncultured delta proteobacterium. Its description in RNAcentral is "partial 16S ribosomal RNA". It matches the Rfam family "Bacterial small subunit ribosomal RNA", at positions 568 to 774 of the family's 1533-position model. Lineage: Bacteria; Deltaproteobacteria. The record is from RNAcentral.
CUCGUAGGCUGUUCGGUAAGUCAGACGUGAAAGCCCUCGGCUCAACCGGGGAACUGCGUUUGAUACUGCCAGACUUGAGUGUCGGAGAGGGUGGCGGAAUUCCGGGUGUAGGAGUGAAAUCCGUAGAUAUCCGGAGGAACACCAGUGGCGAAGGCGGCCACCUGGACGACAACUGACGCUGAGGAGCGAAAGCGUGGGGAGCAAACA